GGAUAUAGCUCAGUCGGUAGAGCGCAGCAAAAGAUGCUGUUGUCGCGGGUUCGAUUCCCGCUAUCC
Molecule: transfer RNA, 66 nt
Filed under: Lysobacter enzymogenes
Lineage: Bacteria; Pseudomonadati; Pseudomonadota; Gammaproteobacteria; Lysobacterales; Lysobacteraceae
Description: tRNA_Leu_CAG
Rfam family: tRNA
About the family: Transfer RNA (tRNA) molecules are approximately 80 nucleotides in length. Their secondary structure includes four short double-helical elements and three loops (D, anti-codon, and T loops).
Source: RNAcentral